Molecule: long non-coding RNA, 786 nt
Filed under: Gallus gallus (chicken)
Lineage: Eukaryota; Metazoa; Chordata; Aves; Galliformes; Phasianidae
Source: RNAcentral
CUCUGAGGGCUCAGGAGGACCCAGGGGCUCGGGCCGGGGCUCAGUGUCCCCCCGGUGUCCCCCCGGUGCCAGAGGACCAGGCUGCAGCUCACGUCCCCCCCUGCACCAGAAGCGGCUUUGGGACAGAGGAAUCCUCGGUUCGUUUUGGCGAAAUGAUGGCGUUUUCGGCAAAAUAUCAUCGGAACGAUAACGGAAAAGCGAGGAACGCUUUCGGCUUUGCCAUGCAACCCUUCCGGACUCCGAAGCUCACUGUUCUCAAGCAGAGAUGCAAGGAAAAAAAAAUAAGAAGAAUCCAACCCUGCGUUUAAAUAAAGACGGGUGAUAAUUUCAUUAUCAGGAUAAGACUUUGGGUGGGAAAAACGCUGGAGAAUUUUCGCAUCGCUGGAGGGUGUCUGCGCUCUCACGACCGGGGAUACUGCAGUCGUUUGGAAAGGACGAAGAGGUAGGAACCUGGAGCUGCUUAGGAUCGGGAAUGACUGGAUUAUAGCUUCCAACUAAAGAAAAAAACAUCAAGAAUCAUGCAUUUUAAAAACAGUUUAUUCAACGGCCAAGGACAAUGAUCCGGCACAAUGUAACGGCAGAUAUAAAUAUAACCUUAUAUAAGUGGUUGACCCUUGUCAUUAUUAUUUUUAAUAGCUUCAUACCUAAUAUUUUAACCAUUUCCCCCCGCAGAACCGACUCUGCGAAUUAUAUUUUUUUUCUCCCCUCCCUUUUUCUUUCAUUUUUUUAAAAUUUAUUUUCUAAAUCUUUUUUUUUUAAUUCUUUUUUUCUUUUUUUUUUUCCUUC